RNAcentral lists this ribosomal RNA (253 nucleotides) under uncultured bacterium. RNAcentral's name for it is "partial 16S ribosomal RNA". It matches the Rfam family "Bacterial small subunit ribosomal RNA", at positions 524 to 776 of the family's 1533-position model. The record is from RNAcentral.
UACGAAGGGGGCUAGCGUUGCUCGGAAUUACUGGGCGUAAAGGGCGCGUAGGCGGAUGUUUAAGUCGGGGGUGAAAGCCCGGGGCUCAACCUCGGAAUAGCCUUCGAUACUGGACAUCUUGAGUACGGGAGAGGUGAGUGGAACUCCGAGUGUAGAGGUGAAAUUCGUAGAUAUUCGGAAGAACACCAGUGGCGAAGGCGACUCACUGGACGACUGUUGACGCUGAGGUGCGAAAGCGUGGGGAGCAAACAGG